GACGAACGCUGGCGGCGUGCUUAACACAUGCAAGUCGAGCGGUAAGGCCCUUUCGGGGGUACACGAGCGGCGAACGGGUGAGUAACACGUGGGUGACCUGCCCUCAGCUCUGGGAUAAGCCUGGGAAACCGGGUCUAAUACUGGAUAUGACUCCAUGACGCAUGUUGUGGGGUGGAAAGCCUUGUGCGGCUGAGGAUGGGCCCGCGGCCUAUCAGCUUGUUGGUGGGGUGAUGGCCUACCAAGGCGACGACGGGUAGCCGGCCUGAGAGGGCGACCGGCCACACUGGGACUGAGACACGGCCCAGACUCCUACGGGAGGCAGCAGUAGGGAAUCUUGCGCAAUGGGCGAAAGCCUGACGCAGCCAUGCCGCGUGAAUGAUGAAGGUCUUAGGAUUGUAAAAUUCUUUCAGCGGGGACGAUAAUGACGGUACCCGCAGAAGAAGCCCCGGCUAACUUCGUG
Molecule: ribosomal RNA, 460 nt
Filed under: uncultured bacterium
Lineage: Bacteria
Description: bacterial SSU rRNA
Rfam family: Bacterial small subunit ribosomal RNA
Source: RNAcentral